CUCAAUUGAGAAGCAUGACACUACUUUUCAUUUCGACUUGAAGAUACCCAAACUUUUUCUAUUUUUAAAUUCAGGCCUGCUCAGCUAAGUACCCAUAAGUCUCUAUCCAGCGGUACACUGCAAACAACCAGCAGAAACAAAAAUGACGUUUAAAUAUCAAAACCCGUUUACUUAGCCUGCUGAAUAUACAAUUAUAACCAUUAAAUGUUCUCAAAAUCUGCAGGAUUUAAGUAACCGCACACUUCAAUGAUCGCAACCGCACGGGAAGCCAUGAUCAGAAUAUCAAUAACAAUCAGUCUCCUCAAACGCCUGUUUCCAUGAAGAUGCCAGUCCCUGCCGAAGCUUCAAUCAGCCGCCAGCAUUGUGGUUAAUUUUAGACGAGUCUCCACUGUCCUGUCAACUGAUCUGGCAAUUAUUUCGAUGUUACUUCUGCCCUUGCACUUGCUCUGCGCAUCGAUACGGAUAUCGAUUUCGGUUGCGUUUGAUUAUUCGCCAUGCUCCGCUGGCGAUUUCAAAUUUCACUGUGCGUGGAGGAGCACUAACCAGACUCGAUGUUAUGAUUCACUUGGUCUUGACUCCAGUUUGAUUCGCUUUUGCUUAUCUCUCGGAUGCGAUCGAAUAUUGCGUUACCACUCGCCGAUAGCUUCUGUGCGAAGAGUUUGGCUUUUCAAUUGACUGAUCAAAUUUACCUUGCAAACAUCGAUAUGAUAGCGUAACGAGAGAGUUGAAGACGCACGGCCGAUGGUCAACAAAGAUUGUAGUUCGGGAGGCAGUUCGAAAGAUAUUUUCCAAUUUUAUCGAUUUGCAGAAAGCAAAAAUUUGAUUAGCUACUAGGUUAUUCAUUCCAUUUAAAAUUUAAAAAAUAAUUAUUUUUACGAUCCUAAUAGCAAGAUAGCCAUAAGCCCAGCCUUGCCCGAAAGACCUGACUGCAACACGUGUCUGGUAAUAUAAUAUUUAUAUUAAGUUAUAAUUGUGCUGCCUGAAACUGAAUAGUCAACAACGAGUAUCACUUAUCAAAUUGCUCAGAGCACAAAAUGCAUAAAUAAUAUUUUGGGUGCCCUUCUGGCGCGGUUCUUUUUGUUUACACUGAAAUUAACACCGCGAUAUUUAAGACUCUCUGGGCAGUGCAUGGGUAUGCGGUGGUCGAGCUCGCAGCGUUUUCAUCGGCCA
This is a long non-coding RNA of Drosophila biarmipes, 1170 nucleotides long. RefSeq lists it as uncharacterized. The transcript is spliced from 3 exons. NCBI's taxonomy places the organism in Eukaryota, Metazoa, Arthropoda, Insecta, Diptera, Drosophilidae. The record is from RefSeq and is a predicted model, not a curated record.